UGCGGCGUAGGGGAGCGGUCGUUCCCGCCAGUCUCAUAAGCUGGAGAUCGCCGGUUCGAAUCCGGCCGCCGCUA
Molecule: transfer RNA, 74 nt
Filed under: Methylocaldum gracile subsp. desertum
Lineage: Bacteria; Pseudomonadati; Pseudomonadota; Gammaproteobacteria; Methylococcales; Methylococcaceae
Description: Methylocaldum sp. 0917 tRNA-Met
Rfam family: tRNA
About the family: Transfer RNA (tRNA) molecules are approximately 80 nucleotides in length.
Source: RNAcentral